RNAcentral lists this ribosomal RNA (266 nucleotides) under uncultured bacterium. Its description in RNAcentral is "partial 16S ribosomal RNA". It matches the Rfam family "Bacterial small subunit ribosomal RNA", at positions 793 to 1055 of the family's 1533-position model. The record is from RNAcentral.
GUCCACGCCGUAAACGAUGGGUACUAGGUGUAGGAGGUGUCGACUCCUCCUGUGCCGAAGCUAACGCAUUAAAGUACCCCGCCUGGGGAGUACGGCCGCAAGGCUAAAACUCAAAAGGAAUUGACGGGGACCCGCACAAGCGAGCGGAGCAUGUGGUUCAAUUCGACGCAACGCGAAGAACCUUACCUGGGCUUGACAUGUCGGUGACAGCCGUGGAAACACGGUCUCCCUUCGGGGCACCGUCACAGGUGGUGCAUGGCUGUCGU